Molecule: long non-coding RNA, 1645 nt
Organism: Oreochromis aureus
Lineage: Eukaryota; Metazoa; Chordata; Actinopteri; Cichliformes; Cichlidae
Source: Ensembl
UUUGCUUGCCGAGUACAUUAAAUCGAGAAAGCUAAACAAUGUUUCGUGUUUAAUGACAGUAAACACUUUUCUUUCAUCAUUAUGAUAUGAGAUGUGGGAGGUGUGUACAAGCUGGUUUGGUUAUUCUGGAGUUACACGCCCCCCACUCCUCCUGCUCCCUGACACAUAAACGGGAAAUACACCGGCAGUCAGCUGGCAGAGCAGAAAACGUUCAAGAUGGGGAUGGUGCACGCUGGGAAUGCGGUGUCGGCAGCCAUGGGGAUAAGGGACACCAAAGGAUUACACGGCCAGCUGCACCGUCACCUGCCUGCCAGAAACAGAAGAAAAAACAGGAGACAAAGGAAUGCCUCCUUCCCAGAUCGCUGUCAUUGUAGCAGCUGUCCUGCUGCUGGUCGGCCUCGUGUGCUUCCUGUGCUACAAAUAUAGACUUAGGAGUAAAUGCUGUGGCCAGACUGGAGGCAUCUACCCUCAUGUGAUGUUUAAGAAGGCUCCGCAACCAAAAGCUGAUGUGGAGACAGGAGGAGGAUAGAGCAGAUUAGAGGAGCUUCUCGGUGCACGAUAAUUCUAUAUCCAUGCUUUCUCAAUCCUUUCCGCUGCAUUACUUAAGUAGCAGUAUGCUUGCAUUAUUAUAUCAUCUCUGCGGGUUUGCUUUUCUAUAUUUUGCCGGGCGGCGUUUUGGGACAGGACAGUUACAAAAUGAAAUCCAUGUUACAGGAUAUUAGAGACUUGAUGUGCCAAACUCUAAUGUAAGAGUUCCUCCUUCCACACUAUUCAAUUCAAUUUUAUUUAUAUGAAACCAAAUGACAACAGUUUAAGGCUCUUCUGUGGCCUCAUCAAUGCUAAAAAACGCUGUGACUGAUAAAAGGUCAUUGAUUUCUUCCCACACAGACAAACCUCAGCUCAGUGUUAGAAACUGUAUCCUGUUACAGUGUUGAUCCCAUUGUUGAUUUUAAUUCCACUUGCCAGUUAGAUGUGAGGAAUUGGUGCACAGGUGAAAAGUUCUCUGGUAAAUUGUUAAUGGACUGAUUCUUAUAUAGCGCUUUUCUACUCUCCUGGAGUACUCAAAGCGCUAUGGGCUGUGGAAGCUCACAGACUCUUUGCUGCAAUAAUGCUCGUAUAAUAUAAUAUAAUAUAAUAUAAUAUAAUAUAAUAUAAUAUAAUAUAAUAUAAUAUCAUAUAAUAUCAUAUAAUAUAAUAUAAUAUAAUAUAAUAUAAUAUAAUAUAAUAUAAUAUAAUAAUGACCCCCCUACUUCCAGCCAGGACCCCCAUGUUAGUGUUAAUGAUGUAAACCAGCUGUGGAAGCUCGGAGACUCGUACUGCAGCACCAGGGCGUGCACUUUCAGUGUCCUAUAGCAUUACAGCACAUAGUAUAUAUGCAGAGCAUACAACGCUAUAAAUAACUUAUUAUCUAAAUGCUGCAAAUAUUUUUAUAAUGUGGAUCUUUCUUUAUUUUUGCUUACUUAUUUAUACUGUUUUCUUAUUACAUAACGUAAAUGUCAUAAAUUGAAAUGAUUCCUCCUGUAACAUGUACUCUGUACCUGCAUGCUCAGUCACUGAAUGUUUUUGUCCCAGAUUAUCCUUCUUGCUCUGUUUUUCUGCCUUAUGUUCCCCUAUUAUGCUGAAAAUGGAUUAAAAACCUCCGAUU